UCUGGGUUGCAUGGCUACCUGCUGCNGCUACACUCAGCCUGANNCGAUCGGGUUGGGUUUAUGGCUCGGUGUGGUGGUUGUGCAGCCUUUCUGCCGUGUCUGUUNACAGGUGCUGGUAGAUCGUUCGCGGUCUGCCGGCAUGCUUCCAGAUGCCUUUAAACGGGUGUCGGGAGCGGACGGCAUGUUUACUUUGAACAAAUUUGAGUGCUCAAAGCAGGCCAAUGUGCCUGAAAAGUCUUGCAUGGGAUAACCGAAUAGGACUUCGGUUCUAUUUUGUUGGUUUUCGGAUCCGAAGUAAU
Molecule: ribosomal RNA, 299 nt
Filed under: Rhabdiopoeus taylori
Lineage: Eukaryota; Metazoa; Platyhelminthes; Trematoda
Description: partial small subunit ribosomal RNA
Rfam family: Eukaryotic small subunit ribosomal RNA (bases 179-299)
Source: RNAcentral